GUCUGCUUCACUGUGAGGUUUUUGCACAUCGGACGGAUGAAGUCUUCCACGGAGACGGCAACGAGGGCGUUGAUGCUGGAAGACACUGUGCUGAAACGCAUCACAUAACAUGUUAACUACAUAUUUGUUCAGCAGGGUCCCGCUGUACGCAGCAGCCACAAACAAACCGGGGAUUCCAGGGUAGACGGCCAAGAUGUCCAUGACGAGGCCUCCCUGAAGCACGGCCCCUCUCGCGACGACCGCCACGAAACCCGCCAGCAUGAUCACCAUCUGCAGCACGUCGGUCCAAAUGACCGCCUUCAGCCCGCCCUGAAGACGACACCGGCGCAGACGACAGAGUUCAACCGAAACGAGAACGACGCAGAAACACGCGCUGGUGAUCCCCAGCCGGUAGAAGAGAGGCACAAAGAUCUCAGCAGUGAUGGUUGACAUGAUGACGUAGCUGAUGCCGAAGAGCCAGAAGGACGUCCCGUACGAGUACGCCUCGGCCGGCGUGCCGAUGACGGUGA
This is a long non-coding RNA of Syngnathoides biaculeatus (alligator pipefish), 509 nucleotides long. RefSeq lists it as uncharacterized. The record is from RefSeq and is a predicted model, not a curated record. The transcript has 4 exons. Lineage: Eukaryota; Metazoa; Chordata; Actinopteri; Syngnathiformes; Syngnathidae.